AUUCAACUGACGAGUUUCAAAUAGAACGGGACAUGCGUCCUGGAU
Molecule: non-coding RNA, 45 nt
Organism: Schistosoma haematobium
Lineage: Eukaryota; Metazoa; Platyhelminthes; Trematoda; Strigeidida; Schistosomatidae
Source: Rfam